CGGGUAUGUUUUUUAUCCAGCCGUGUCAAUGCUGCCCCCUAGCCCUAACAGGUUAAAUACAGCACUAACCUUUGAUGAUCUUCAUCAGAUGACACUCCUAGGACAUUAUGUUAUACAAUACAUGCAUGUUUUGUUCAAUCAAGUUCAUAUUUAUAUCAAAAAACAGCUAGCAAGCGUCCCACCUAGCCCAUAGAGGUUAACAGAGUCUGAGGACAUGAAUGACAGCCUUGUGGAUUCAGCUGCCAUGGACACUGCAGUGGAUGAUGAUGCUGAGUAGAGAACAAGAGUGUGGGUGUCAGAGUUGCCUUCUGAAGGAACAGGUGACACAAGCCUGGAGGGUGAUGUGCGAUCCUUGGAUGCUCAGGAUAUUCCACCUUUGGAUUCUGUGGAAGACACACUGCAGCUGGAAGGUCUGCCUCGAUCAGAGAGUCUUCAAGAAUCUGACCGAGACCGUAACAGUGUAGUGAGUGAGCUAAUUGACCAGUCUGCUUACGAUAUCCGUACUGACCUACCAAACUCGGACCAUUCCUUACCUGAUCAGUUACGCACUGCCUGUGUUGACAGACCCACUAUCGCAACAGUACACAACACUGUUACCCCUUAUGCAGUUGAAGGUACUCGGGGUUGUAUUAGGUCAAGGGCAGGAAGACUAUUUAGACCAGUGUCUAGACUGAUUGAGAUUAUGAAUCAGCAGAAAGUUAGCUCUUGAAGGUUAAUAUUUGAAUAGAGAGGGUCAAUGGUAUUGACAUCUUUUAUUUGUUUUGUUUUUACAUCAUCGUGACCAUGAUUAGAGAUGGCAGGAUGGUAAUGUGACGGAUAUGAUAAAGCCUCACAUGGUAGUUUAUUUUAUUACUUGGAUGUUUUAAAGUCGCUGAGUGUACUUAACAUGUAACAGUCAUCUUUACCUAUGAGAGCUAAGGGGAUUGAUCAACCACUUUUCACUCUAAUUCUCAAGGAGAAUAGUGUAAUGACUGGAGUAUUUAGUGACUGUUUUAAAGCAGGGUCUGCAUCCUCGAUAUACACAGCUUUACCAUUUAGUUUUCUCUAUUGGGUAGUAUAAAAACAUAUCUAUUUUUUUUUUUCUUCUCUGUGGAUUAUUCUGUACAUAUGUUGAGUGUAUCUGUACCUGGUGUGUUUGCACAGUGUGGUUUUGUAUUUGUAUUAUUUUUCUUUGCAAGUGGAAUUCAGUAGGGGGGAGUGUAACAGGGUUAUAUUGGUGAUUCCCCUUGCCACUUUAUUGUUAAGCCAAUGGGUUUUUGGUUUUAUUUUGUCUUGCCUUCACCUACUCAACAUGGCAUCUUAUUGGCUGGUUUGCGUAGCUUGCUUACGAGGGAGGAUGUUUCAGUUAGAAUCGUCCCAGUGAACAAGCACCAAACCAGCGAAUAAAGCUCCAUGACUGGUGCUACAAGUUGGAGUUCGUGUCGAUGAUUGAUUGUACACAACGUCAGAAGAGUACUGUUACAUAUGCAUGUUAUAAAGUUAGCGGGAAGGAGAGUGUGUCAGGUUCUGAGGCUCAUUCGAAUGAAGGAAAGUGGUGCUGUGGAACCGCGGUGGCCCUAAGAAAACACUCAUCCUAUACAGAGGCAGUCUGUCGAGUAAGGAGGACAAGCCAUGUCUGCCACUAUAAGCAGCUUUCCUAAUAACAGUACUUUCUAACACUCAGACAUGGGUCUCAAUAACAAAGAUCUGUGCAUAUGGAGCAUGGCCAUGGUCCUAAUAGUGGUUUUGCUGUCACUUAUCUAUGGCUUGUGUUACUUCUAUGGGCUAUGUGCAAGGAAGAUAAGAUACAGCAGCCUGCCUUUGAUUUCGGUGUGAUUCUAUUAUGUGCAUCAUGUCAUGUUACUCAGUUUACCUGCUAAUAAACAGUGACAUGUGGUUUUGUGGUAGUGAUCUUUAUUGGUCAGCCAAACAAACAACACAUGAACUAUACAAUGAAAUAGGACAUGUGUCUAGAUAGUAUAUUAUAUUAUAUUAGUUACACAGCUGAAGUGAUGAAGUGUGUUGCCUGGAGAUGACCUAAUGUCACAUGUUGCAGAAGGGCUCCUCUGUCAUUCUAGCUGGGUCCCGGUGUCACAGGCCCGUUGCGGAUCUGUUCUGGUUCUAUUCAGAUGUAGAGGAUGAGUAAGAAACAAACAGUAGAACCCAGUUUUAUGUUUCUGAUGUAGUUGUAGAUGUAGCAAGGCUAUGGUUUAUAUAUAUAUACGGACUGGAGAGGUAGUUACCUUGUUCCACAACGCUAAUCACAGAAGCCUCUGAGGCCUCCACGACAUUACCGUCACACCAACAGUUCCCAUUGUAGCUCAUCCCGUCACAGGAGCACGUUGUGGGCACAUACACGGUGUCAUACUGUAGCGAAUGAACACGCGAACAUGGUGUGUAAAUAAAGGACGAUGGAUGGCCUUCUGCUACAGGUCCUGUGAGUUAUCAGAAUCGCCAACCCAAAAACAAUCAUCAACGGAGCCCCUAUCAAGGACAUGUUCAGCCAAUCGUCCUUGUUGCUAAUCCACC
This 2508-nucleotide long non-coding RNA is filed under the name Salmo salar (Atlantic salmon). Its description in RNAcentral is "lncRNA (ENSSSAG00000098524.1)". Lineage: Eukaryota; Metazoa; Chordata; Actinopteri; Salmoniformes; Salmonidae. The record is from RNAcentral.